Molecule: non-coding RNA, 24 nt
Filed under: Arabidopsis thaliana (thale cress)
Lineage: Eukaryota; Viridiplantae; Streptophyta; Magnoliopsida; Brassicales; Brassicaceae
Source: RNAcentral
AAAGUCUACAUCUUCUAGAGACGA